Molecule: ribosomal RNA, 497 nt
Filed under: uncultured bacterium
Lineage: Bacteria
Description: partial 16S ribosomal RNA
Rfam family: Bacterial small subunit ribosomal RNA
Source: RNAcentral
GAUGAACGCUGGCGGCGUGCCUAAUACAUGCAAGUCGAGCGAACGGACGAGAAGCUUGCUUCUCUGAUGUUAGCGGCGGACGGGUGAGUAACACGUGGAUAACCUACCUAUAAGACUGGGAUAACUUCGGGAAACCGGAGCUAAUACCGGAUAAUAUUUUGAACCGCAUGGUUCAAAAGUGAAAGACGGUCUUGCUGUCACUUAUAGAUGGAUCCGCGCUGCAUUAGCUAGUUGGUAAGGUAACGGCUUACCAAGGCAACGAUGCAUAGCCGACCUGAGAGGGUGAUCGGCCACACUGGAACGGAGACACGGUCCAGACUCCUACGGGAGGCAGCAGUAGGGAAUCUUCCGCAAUGGGCGAAAGCCUGACGGAGCAACGCCGCGUGAGGGAUGAAGGUCUUCGGAUCGUAAAACUCUGUUAUUAGGGAAGAACAUAUGUGUAAGUAACUGUGCACAUCUUGACGGUACCUAAUCAGAAAGCCACGGCUAACUACGUG